Molecule: transfer RNA, 87 nt
Filed under: Bacillota bacterium
Lineage: Bacteria; Bacillati; Bacillota
Also listed under: 2 other names
Description: tRNA-Leu
Rfam family: tRNA
About the family: Transfer RNA (tRNA) molecules are approximately 80 nucleotides in length. Their secondary structure includes four short double-helical elements and three loops (D, anti-codon, and T loops). Further hydrogen bonds mediate the characteristic L-shaped molecular structure. tRNAs have two regions of fundamental functional importance: the anti-codon, which is responsible for specific mRNA codon recognition, and the 3' end, to which the tRNAs corresponding amino acid is attached (by aminoacyl-tRNA synthetases). tRNAs cope with the degeneracy of the genetic code in two manners: having more than one tRNA (with a specific anti-codon) for a particular amino acid; and 'wobble' base-pairing, i.e. permitting non-standard base-pairing at the 3rd anti-codon position.
Source: RNAcentral
GCCUCCGUGGUGAAACUGGUAGACGCAAUAGACUCAAAAUCUGUCGAGCGUGAGCUCAUGUCGGUUCGAGUCCGACCGGAGGCACCA